GCCGGUAUAGCUCAGUCUGGUAGUCAGCGACUGCCUCGUAAGCAGUAGGUCCGGGGUUCGAAUCCUCGUGCCGGCA
Molecule: transfer RNA, 76 nt
Filed under: Bertelyvirus sp.
Lineage: Duplodnaviria; Heunggongvirae; Uroviricota; Caudoviricetes; Jeanschmidtviridae
Also listed under: 5 other names
Description: tRNA-Thr
Rfam family: tRNA
About the family: Transfer RNA (tRNA) molecules are approximately 80 nucleotides in length.
Source: RNAcentral